RNAcentral lists this unclassified non-coding RNA (971 nucleotides) under Hevea brasiliensis (rubber tree). The record is from RNAcentral. Lineage: Eukaryota; Viridiplantae; Streptophyta; Magnoliopsida; Malpighiales; Euphorbiaceae.
AAGGAAAAAAAAAAAAAACUACAGAAGUAGAAAUGUGUUAUGAAUAAAAGAAAAAAUAAAAAAAAAUUCAAAUUGAAGAGAAUGAAUCUGAAGCAAUUAAAAUCCAGAUUUCCCAAAAAAAAAAAGUGAUAUACUUAAUCGUUACUAUAUUCCCUAUCUUCCACUUCAUGUUUUUGUUAUCUAUAAAGAAAAUAAAAGAAAAAUCAGUGCUAUUAAAAAAAGUCAUUAUUCAAAAAAAGAAAAAAAAAUAUGGACAAAUAAUUAAAGAAAGUCAGUGGUGUCAUCAAUGAAAUUAAAAAAAAAACCUUCGCCAUAAAAUAUCAUCCUUUACCUAUAUCUCAAUGCCUCUUCAAAAGUAACAACAAUAACAAAUAAGUCUUAAUCCAAACUAGUUAGGGUCGACCAUAUGGAUUCUUUUUCGCCAUUCAACUUUAUUUGAGACCAAUUUUGUGUCGAUAUUAAAAAUUGUAAAUCUUUUGAUACUAUUCCACAUCAUUUUAGUGUCACCCUCUUCCUUCUCACUUUUUCCACUACUGACCUAUCACAUUUCCGUAUUAGGGCAUUCCAUGCUCUACGUUGAACGUGACCAAACCAUCUUAAUCAACUCUCCCUCAAAAGUAAGAAGGCAAAAAGUUUUAGAGUUGACUAUAUGGAUUGAAAUUGCUGUUGUGGCUGCAAUAAUGGUCAUGAUCAUGUGUAAUGGAAAUGGGGUUGUCACAGGUAACAAUGCGAAAAUUGUUUAAACGAAAUUUGCAAAAUGAAGUAAAUUAAUAAAUAUUAACAGAAUAAUUAAAUUUAAGAAAUUCAACUGACUAGUGAGCAUAAAUCCACUAUACAUAAACUAUUUUUGUUACAUUUUAACUUACUGAUGCAUUUUUUAAUUUAUAGAUUUAUACAUUUUGAAUAUGAAUCAAGCUAAACUUCCAACUUAUGGUUAAAUUUCGAUUAUAUAUGAUUAUAUGUAAUUUAUU